UACGGAGGAUGCGAGCGUUAUCCGGAUUUAUUGGGUUUAAAGGGUGCGUAGGCGGGAUGCCAAGUCAGCGGUAAAAAUGCGGUGCUCAACGCCGUCGAGCCGUUGAAACUGGCGUUCUUGAGCGGGCGAGAAGUAUGCGGAAUGCGUGGUGUAGCGGUGAAAUGCAUAGAUAUCACGCAGAACUCCGAUUGCGAAGGCAGCAUACCGGCGCCCUACUGACGCUGAGGCACGAAAGCGUGGGUAUCGAACAGG
Molecule: ribosomal RNA, 252 nt
Filed under: uncultured bacterium
Lineage: Bacteria
Description: partial 16S ribosomal RNA
Rfam family: Bacterial small subunit ribosomal RNA
Source: RNAcentral